Long non-coding RNA from Triticum aestivum (bread wheat), 2901 nucleotides. RefSeq lists it as uncharacterized. The record is from RefSeq and is a predicted model, not a curated record. Lineage: Eukaryota; Viridiplantae; Streptophyta; Magnoliopsida; Poales; Poaceae. The transcript has 7 exons.
UUGCCCCCCUCGUGACCAGAUUGAACCAGGAGGAACCCUACGCUACCAGCUUCCAGCCGCCAUUCGAGCAGGAGAGAAGCCGAGCGAACAACAAAGGCCACCCGCCGGCUGCCGCGCAGCCACCCCGUCCAUCUGCUCGUCCGGCGAGGAGGCGACCCCUUCCAUCUGCUUGUCGGCGACCUCAUCUUCCCUGCCGCACCCCACCGCUCGUCCCGCGACCAAGCCCGGCGCCCCGGCCUAUCGUCCAGCCGUGCCGCCGUCCAGGUCCAGCGACGCCGCACCUACCGCUCGUCCGGCGACCUCGUCCUGCCUCCGGCCUCCCGCCAGGCCGCCACCGUCCGGCUAGCCGGCCAGGAAGAUCGAAGAAAAGAUGAACAAAAGAGCCAAGACAAUGACAUCUUUUUUUCAACCAGAAAGCACUAAUUCCAUAGUAACAGAAGCAGCCCCUGCAACUCGAGCAAGUGAUGACGUUCCUCGUGUCGCAGCCCAACUUAAGCCCGGUGAUAUUGAGCCAGACCCUGGUAAGAGAAUACCUAUUGAGAAUUUGGAUCCCGACAUUAGAGAUCUUGCUAGAAGGGAGUCAUCAGUAUGGGCCCUUGCCAACCAACUGAUCAUAAAUAUGAACGGAAAUGGGUAGGAAAAGGGUUUAGAAGCUUUCAUGAUUCUUGGUACAAAAAUCAUCGUGGUUGGUUGGAAUAUAGCGUUGAUAAAAAUGCAGCCUUUUGCUUUUAUUGCUUUCUAUUUAAGCAACCAACAGCUGACAACUUUGGUGUUCAAGCAUUCACUAAGAAUGGGUUUAAGAAUUGGAAGGAUGGACCUAAAAUUCUUUAUGAACAUGUUGGUAAACAUGACAGUGCUCAUAAUAAGGCUAGACAACACUAUGAGGCUUUCAAAAACCAGAGGCAAAAUCUGCCACAUGUGUUUGAUCGAGGUACUCAGAAGGAGGAAGAAGAAUACAAAGCUCGUCUCUUGAUUAUAUUGGGUGUUAUCAAAUUUUUGCUGCUACAAGGUCUUGCUUUUCGUGGACAUGAUGAGUCUACUAGCUCAAGGAAUAAGGGUAACUUUAAGGAGUUGUUGGGCUGGCUCAUAGAGAAAGACCGAGAUGCAUGAAAAUUGACUGGGGAUGCAGGAGCAAACCAUAAGCUAACUUCACCUGAGAUACAAUUGGACUUGCGCAAGGCUUGUGCAGAAGAGACCACCAAAACCAUUGUUGAUGAGAUUGGAGAUAGUAAAUUUUUCUUACUUGUUGAUGAGUCCAGAGAUGCAUCUAUCAAGGAGCAAAUGGCUAUGUGUUUGAGGCAUCUCAGCAGCCGAGGGGAGGUGAUUGAGAGGUUUAUUGCAAUCAAGCAUGUUCCUGACACACGGGCAACUUCACUCAAGAAAAAACAGCAUAUUGUUCGUGUCGUGGGAUUGAUUAAAACUACAAUGGACAAAAUGCAAGAGAUAAGGCAGAAUGGUUGGGAUGAGCUCUUCCAAGAGGUAACUAAUUUCUGUCUCAAAUACAAUAUUGUAGUGCCAAAUAUGGAAGAUACAAUAACUGCUAAUGGUCGUUCAAGAACUUGAGGUGGCCAAUUGGUAACUUACCACCAUCAUUUCAGAAAUGAAAUAUUCAAUGUGGUGCAUGAUCAAAUUAUUGUGGAAUUAAACAACCACUUUAAUGAAAGAUCUACUCAAUUGUUAAGAUGCAUUGCUUGUCUUGAUCCGAAGAAUUCUUUUGCCAAUUAUAAUGAAGACAAGCUUGUUGACCUUGCUAGUAUGUAUGUUGCUGACUUCUCUGCAUAUGAAGUUAGUUUUGUCCUUAGAAAUCAAUUGGACUCGUUCAUUCAUGAAGCAAGAGUUGAUCCACAUUUGAUGAAUUGUAAUGACCUUGGUCAUCUUGCCAUGAAGAUGGUUUUGAGUAAUAUGCACACAACAUUUCCGUUGGUUUACCGCCUUGUUGAGUUAGCAUUAAUAUUACCUAUUGCAACCGCAACGGUAGAAAGUGCCUUCUCAGCAAUGAGCAUUAUCAAGACCGACUUGAGGAACAGGAUGGGUGAUGAUUGGUUGAAUCACAUAAUGGUAUGUUACAUUGAGUGAGAUGUAUUUGUUAGUAUUGAAGAGUCAAAGAUCAUUGAGCGACUUCAGGGUUAUCGCACACGCAAAGGCAUUUUACCUUGUCCUAGAGGUGAAUCAUCUGUUACUAUUGAAGAUGUAAUCGCGGGAAGCUAAAAUCAAACAGCCUUUUGAUUUGACUCGUACUUGUGUUGAUAAUAGGCUUCUCUUGAUAGCUUCAAAGGCAUGAUAACCAUGGUCAUUGAUGACUAUGUUAAAAUGUAUACCAAGACAGCCUGGGCAACAUCAGUCGGAAGUAGACAUCAAAAAUAGCACCGACAUGAGUAAAAUUGACUAAGUGAAACGGUAUGUCCAACUGAUGACAUUGCUAACAUAAGCAAAUGCUUUCAUAAAGCAAAUAACCAUCCUGUGGCAUUUUAAUUAGCCUGGUCAGUACUGCAUGAAGGCUGACAACUGAUAUUUUACAAUUAUUCCCUCCAUUCAAACAAAACUAUUACUACGAAUGACUGAAAGAAAAAAAAAUAGCGGUGCCUCCUUCCCUUCCAUCCCCUCUCCACUGAGAGGUCAGCCAUGACCAUAGCUGAUUUAGAGUGAUGACAUAAAUUUCCCAUAUGAACAUGUUACAGGGAGGGAAAACUGCAGAAAUUUGUCAAAAAUGAAGUCGAAUCCACAUAAGCUCUGUAUGUAACUAUGUAUGCAGUGGUUUAGUGGCAGUGGCACGACUCUACUUAAGAAUGUGCAUGCUGACACAUUUUAAGAUUUAUGCAUGGUGUCUGCUCUCUGAUCCUAACAUAGCAUUGUUGUCUCUUGCCUUGCUAUGCACCCUUUUAGUUAAGCAAACAUGCAAAG